GAGGGCCAGAUACUGUAAACACCCUACACUCUCAGCUGUGCACAGUGAGAAAGCUGGGAGAAGGCUGUUUACUCUCUCUGCCUU
This 84-nucleotide microRNA precursor is filed under the name Bos taurus (domestic cattle). Its description in RNAcentral is "microRNA bta-mir-30f precursor". Its record names the gene bta-mir-30f. It matches the Rfam family "mir-30 microRNA precursor family". From Rfam's summary of the family: This family consists of the mammalian microRNA (miRNA) precursor mir-30a. Animal miRNAs are transcribed as ~70nt precursors and subsequently processed by the Dicer enzyme to give a ~22nt product. The record is from miRBase by way of RNAcentral. RNAcentral also lists the same sequence under 4 other names. Lineage: Eukaryota; Metazoa; Chordata; Mammalia; Artiodactyla; Bovidae.